GUUAACCACACCUUCUUCUAGCUCUUGUCAGAGACGUUGAAAAGGCAGAAUGGAGUUUGGAGGAAGUAAAUGAAGAUGAUUGUGAAUAUUUAAGUUUAAUGCCUUCCUUUACAAAAGCUGUGGAGAAGAAGUAGCAGACAACUAAACAAAGAAAUCCACAGAUAUUGCACAGUUACUUUAAUAACGUUUACAAAUUAAGAAAGUUCUGGAAGCCUGAUUUUACAAAUUAUUUAAGAAAGAGUUUUGGGAGCCUGCUUUAUGUAGAGCUCUAUGGCACCUUAUACUAGCAUACAAGGAGAUCUGGUUAUAUCUUCCAGUGCUUGAGGAAAUACCUAGAAUGAAUAAGCAGCUGGCAGAUUCUUCAAAAGAAGUACAGCUUUGUGGCACAUGUCAGAGAUGAGCAGCCCUUCAUUCAAGUCUGUGGAAAUCCUGACAAAGAAAGCAAAUGAGAGAUGAGACUGCCAUCAGCUGUUAUGUAUAUCUUCAUGUACAAGAUAUCGUCAGAAAAAAAAUGGAAGAAAUGAAAUGCAUUAGGAUAUAUUUAAAAAUUAAUCCAGAGAUUGCAUAAGGAGAAAAAAAAAUGAGUGGUGAUCUAAAGAACAAAGUAUGACAUAUCGUUUUACUGCCUGAUCUUCAUAAUAUAAUAAACACAUUGUCAACAUGGUUUUCAAUAUGCAGAAACAAAUGUACUUUGCGCAUUUAAUGCACUUAUUUGCUGUUGUAGGUUUCUAUUAUCAUCCCACAUAUUCAGGUUGAUACUAAAACUCUGAUAAUUUCUAAUUGAUGAUGUAUAUAGUAAAUACUACUAUGGUACUGGAUUGAAUGCAACAUCUAUUAAAAAGGAAAAAAAAACAAUAAGUGGUUCAGUGGCCUUUAAGCCACUAGUCUAGUAAUCUCCUAUGAACCUAUGAGUAGGCUUGUGCUAUGAUAAGGAUGAUAAAGUGAAAAACUGAAAUGACCUUAGUGGCUAAGUCUGUUGAACUUUUGAAGAAAGUGAUGAGAUAACAGACAA
Molecule: long non-coding RNA, 1012 nt
Organism: Protopterus annectens (West African lungfish)
Lineage: Eukaryota; Metazoa; Chordata; Ceratodontiformes; Protopteridae
Exons: 3
Source: RefSeq, a predicted model, not a curated record